This 598-nucleotide ribosomal RNA is filed under the name uncultured bacterium. Its description in RNAcentral is "bacterial SSU rRNA". It matches the Rfam family "Bacterial small subunit ribosomal RNA", at positions 202 to 800 of the family's 1533-position model. The record is from RNAcentral.
UAAAGAUUCAUCGCUGAUAGAUAGGCAUGCGUUCCAUUAGGCAGUUGGCGGGGUAACGGCCCACCAAACCGACGAUGGAUAGGGGUUCUGAGAGGAAGGUCCCCCACAUUGGUACUGAGACACGGACCAAACUCCUACGGGAGGCAGCAGUGAGGAAUAUUGGUCAAUGGGCGUAAGCCUGAACCAGCCAAGUCGCGUGAGGGAUGAAGGUUCUAUGGAUCGUAAACCUCUUUUAUAAGGGAAUAAAGUGUGGGACGUGUCCUAUUUUGUAUGUACCUUAUGAAUAAGGAUCGGCUAACUCCGUGCCAGCAGCCGCGGUAAUACGGAGGAUCCGAGCGUUAUCCGGAUUUAUUGGGUUUAAAGGGUGCGUAGGCGGCCUUUUAAGUCAGCGGUGAAAGUCUGUGGCUCAACCAUAGAAUUGCCGUUGAAACUGGGGGGCUUGAGUAUGUUUGAGGCAGGCGGAAUGCGUGGUGUAGCGGUGAAAUGCUUAGAUAUCACGCAGAACCCCGAUUGCGAAGGCAGCCUGCCAAGCCAUGACUGACGCUGAUGCACGAAAGCGUGGGGAUCAAACAGGAUUAGAUACCCUGGUAGUCCACGC